RNAcentral lists this long non-coding RNA (243 nucleotides) under Homo sapiens (human). RNAcentral's name for it is "HSALNT0320205". The record is from RNAcentral. Lineage: Eukaryota; Metazoa; Chordata; Mammalia; Primates; Hominidae.
UUUGGGAGGCCAAGGCAGGCGGAUCACGAGGUCAGGAGAUCAAGGCCAUCCUGGCUAACACGGUGAAACCCCGUCUCUACUAAAAAUACAAAAAAAAGUUAGCCGGGCGCGGUGGCGGGCGCCUGUGGUCCCAGCUACUCGGGAGGCUGAGGCGGGAGAAUGGCGUGAACCCGGGAGGCGGAGCUUGCAGUGAGCCGAGAUUGCGCCACUGCAGUCCGCAGUCCGACCUGGGCGACAGAGCGA